CCACAGUUCCCCAAUAGCUGUCCCUCAACCAUUCAAGACUCCCCCCACAUUCCCCCCCAGGAAGAAAAAAUUAAAUUAAUUCCAUUCCCCACCCCCAAGAACCCCCCAAUGCACCAACAACCAAGAGAAUGAACUAAAGAGAAAAAAGGAAGACAGAAGAAAACAACAAACAAAUAAUACAUUUAAAACAAAGGACAUCAAGGCCAACUGUAUAUGUUUGUGUGCAUGUCUGGCACUAUUACAUGUAUGUGUGUGUUCUUGUAUGUGUUUAUUUGAAUGAGAGUGUGUGUAUAUGUGUACAAACACCUGCACGGCCUCAGCCUCAGGAAAACUCUGCCACUUAGUGUCAUUCAAAUGUACUUUUUAUUAUGAUUUAUUUUUUAAACUUUAAAAAAAAAGUAUUUUUGACCAUGAUUCUCUCUGUCACUCAGCAACUCCACUCCCACUUGUCUCCAAUUCCACAUACCUUCCCUCAGCCCAUCCCAACUAUCUCUGCUAUGAAACUUUGUCAAUGAUGACACAAUCUUUCAAAGUGUGUGAUUGUACACGUAUUUUUAAAACGUUCACUCACUGCCUAUAGACCGUUACCAUAUGGUGUUCAAAUGUAUUAUGAACGUUUCACUGACCUGCAUUUCAGGUUUGUUCUUUGUGUGCAUGUAUGGAUAACAUUAUGGUGACAUAUAACGACCUUCUGCUGUUAUAGGUGACAAUUGAACUCCACAAGUGCUACUCUAGGAUCAUGUUCUCCCUGUCUAGGUAAUCUUAAUCAUUUCUGAUCAUAAAAGGCACAAAUGAUCCUACAUCAGCACUCCUACCCUCCUCUUCUCUGGAGAUCAGACUGUUGACAGUUCACAGAAGAUAUGGUUUAGUUUGAUAGAAUGAUUUGAGCGCGGGAUGCAUUAUUUGGGCCACUGCUUAGUGUUUACUGUGGAUGGAUGCCUUGUGUGUCUCACGUUUGUCUCACAGAGAAAAGUCUCAGAUGACAGACUUGACUUGCCAUUAACCCUUUCACUCUGUGAGGAGCAUAGGUCAACCACAAAUGAUCUCUGCUGGUAACCGAGCCACCACAGAUACAUGGGGACUAUUACACUGUCACACUUGGCAGGCCCUUGAUUUACUUUGUCUGAGUGGUAACAAAUAAAACACAUAAAAUGCAUUAUAAACUGGGUGGUUCGAGCCCUGAAUGCUGAUUGGCUGACAGCCGUGGUAUAUCAGACCACAGGUAUGACAAAACAUUUAUUUUUACUGCUCUAAUUAUGUCAGAGGUUUGUGGUAUAUGGCCAAUAUACCACGGCUAAGGGCUGUAUGCAGGCACUCCGCUUUGCCGUGGUAUGUUUUAUUUACUCUUUUUCACACCAGGCAUGGGGAUGAGGACCACUGAAGUGGGAAGAAAAGGAUGUCUGAGCCAUGAUUUUCUCUUCACAGUGAAAUGCUCUGUUCGGGAUGGGCAACCCCUUGCUCGACAUCUCAGCUGGACAACGACUUCCUCCACAAGUCAGUUUGAACAUAACCGUUUAGGCUCUGUCCCACAUGGCUCCCUGUGUAGUGCAUCACUUUAGACCAGGGCCCAUUUGGGGUGUGUCGUGGAAUUAUUCUAAUCAAAGUAAAGACUUUUACAUUUCCUCCAAACAAGUCAACUUUAUUAUUAAAUUACUGCAAUAAUGGAACUUGUCAACAAGCCCCCCUCUGUAGGUGAUUCGUUGAGAGCCCAACCAGCAGGACUAAGCCACAGCAUUUUAUAGUAAAGUCCAUCCUCCUGGAGGUUCAUGACAAAUCACAGAUGUAUGGAAUGGGUCACAAGGUUAGGAUUCAUAUGAAAGGUAUGGACUGAAGCCCAGCACCCAGAUACUGACCGAGGACAAGCACAAAGCCAUGAAAAAGUGUUUCCCCCAUAGUGAACAGAGGGGUGGCACUUUCCAGCACCUCUCCGGAACCAUACUUUAACAACUGAAUUCCGGUCGGACCUCCUUUACCAGAACACAGCUGGCUUUCAUGCUGCAGGCAUGGGGGCUGGUAAUUGCAGACACACAGAGGAGGGGUACGUCACUUGAGUGUGUUGAGUCACUGACGUGGUCUUCCUGUCUUGGGUUGUGCCGUGGCGGAGAUCUUUGUGGGCUAUACUCGGCCUUGUCUCAGGAUGGUAAGUUGGUGGUUGAAGAUAUCCCUCUAGUGGUGUGGGGGCUGUGCUUUGGCAAAGUGGGUGGGGUUAUAUCCUGCCUGUUUGGCCCUAUCCGGGGGUAUCUUCGGACGGGGCCACAGUAUCUCCUGACCCCUCCUGUCUCCUCCAGUAUUUAUGCUGCAGUAGUUUAUGUGUCGGGGGGCUAGGGUCAGUCUGUUAUAUCUGGAGUAUUUUUCCUGUCUUAUCCGGUGUCCUGUGUGAAUUUAAGUAUGCUUUCUCUACUUCUCUCUUUCUUUCUUUCUCUCGGAGGACCUGAGCCCUAGGACCAUGCCUCACGACUACCUGGCAUGAUGACUCCUUGCUGUCCCCAGUCCACCUGGCCGUGCUGCUGCUCCAGUUUCAACUGUUCUGCCUGCAGCUAUGGAACCCUGACCUGUUCACUGGAUGUGCUACCUGUCCCAGACCUGCUGUUUUCAACUCUCUAGAGACAGCAGGAGCGGUAGAGAUACUCGCAAUGAUCGGCUAUGAAAAGCCAACUGACAUUUACUCUUGGGGUGCUGACUUGUUGCACCCUCGACAACUACUGUGAUUACUAUUAUUUGACCCUGGUGGUCAUUUAUGAACAUUUGAACAUCUUGGCCAUGUUCUGUUAUAAUCUCCACCCGGCACAGCCAGAAGAGGAUUGGCCACCCCUCAUAGCCUGGUUCCUCUCUAGGUUUCUUCCUAGGUUUUGGUUUUGGCCUUUCUAGGUAGUUUUUCCUAGCCACCGUGCUUCUACACCUGCAUUGCUUGCUGUUUGGGGUUUUAGGCUUGCUUUCUGUACAGCACUUUUAGAUAUCAGCUGAUGUAAGAAGGGCUAUAUAAAUACAUUUGAUUUGAAGUCAGAUUCUACUUUAAAAAUGGGGCAGUGUAGUUUCAUCUUGGAUUUACUUUGUGGAAUCAUUUUUUUUAUUUGAUAGAAUUAAGAGAACAGUGUUUGGCCAGUGUUAGGCUAGUAGCCUAUUCAUGCACUUGUUUUAAUACCCUUUGAGUUUAAACAAAUGUUUUAAUGUAGUCGCAUGUAUACAGAAUCUGAUCAAUAUUUUGUUAUCUGUACAACAGUGCCACCGUGUGGCUGGAAAUGGAACCUAAUGGUCACAUGACACUGUAUAGUACAGGAUAAACAGAAUAUUUACCCUCUCUCUCCUGCAGGUGGCAAGAGCAGCGUUUUCUUUACCGGGAUUCAACAUGACAACAUUAGAAAACACAACUCAAAUCUGCAAAAGAGAAAAUGGCAUCUACUUUUCAUAGUUAUGAUAAAUAUACUUUUUAGAGUGGCAUUCAUUUGUAUUAUUAUGACUAAGGCAUAGGGACUGUAUUGUUGUCUAGGAAAUAUUCUCAGGCAUAUAUUAAACCAUAUGUCAUAUAAACAUCAAAUUACACUUUUAUUAGUCUGUUCGAGAUAACAUAAACCAUGUCAUUUAGCCUCUACACAGAGUAAUUCAACAGCCUCUUGUUAAAUAUUGUCAUAUUAACCCUGAAAUUAGGCAAUUAAAUUACCCUGUUAGAUGACUGAAUGAAGCCCUUUUCAUCAAUAAGGACCCCCAGAUAAAUAUUCAACAGCUUCCUGCGUGAACUGUACAUACAACCUGUUCACUAUUAGUUUAUCAUGACACCUGCGUCUGUCCAAUUCAAUGAUAAUAAAUAGUUUAGUUUCUCAUCUUGGCACUGAUGGUAAUGACUCCUUUCAGAGCUUGUUUGCU
Molecule: long non-coding RNA, 3861 nt
Filed under: Salmo salar (Atlantic salmon)
Lineage: Eukaryota; Metazoa; Chordata; Actinopteri; Salmoniformes; Salmonidae
Description: lncRNA (ENSSSAG00000112568.1)
Source: RNAcentral